GUGGGGAAUAUUGGACAAUGGGCGAAAGCCUGAUCCAGCCAUGCCGCGUGUGUGAAGAAGGUCUUCGGAUUGUAAAGCACUUUAAGUUGGGAGGAAGGGCAGUAAGUUAAUACCUUGCUGUUUUGACGUUACCGACAGAAUAAGCACCGGCUAACUUCGUGCCAGCAGCCGCGGUAAUACGAAGGGUGCAAGCGUUAAUCGGAAUUACUGGGCGUAAAGCGCGCGUAGGUGGUUGUGUAAGUUGGAGGUGCAAUCCCCGGGCUCAACCUCGGAACUGCCUCCAAAACUGCAUGACUAGAGUACGGUAGAGGGUAGUGGAAUUUCCUGUGUAGCGGUGAAAUGCGUAGAUAUAGGAAGGAACACCAGUGGCGAAGGCGACUACCUGGACUGAUACUGACACUGAGGUGCGAAAGCGUGGGGAGCAAACAGGAUUAGAAACCCGAGUAGUCC
RNAcentral lists this ribosomal RNA (450 nucleotides) under uncultured bacterium. RNAcentral's name for it is "partial 16S ribosomal RNA". It matches the Rfam family "Bacterial small subunit ribosomal RNA", at positions 354 to 796 of the family's 1533-position model. The record is from RNAcentral.